Molecule: ribosomal RNA, 450 nt
Filed under: uncultured bacterium
Lineage: Bacteria
Description: bacterial SSU rRNA
Rfam family: Bacterial small subunit ribosomal RNA
Source: RNAcentral
GUUUGAUCAUGGCUCAGAACGAACGCUGGCGGCAUGCCUAACACAUGCAAGUCGAACGAGACCUUCGGGUCUAGUGGCGCACGGGUGCGUAACGCGUGGGAACCUGCCUUUAGGUUCGGAAUAACUCAGAGAAAUUCGAGCUAAUACCGGAUAAUGUCUUCGGACCAAAGAUUUAUCGCCUUUAGAUGGGCCCGCGUAAGAUUAGCUAGUUGGUGGGGUAAAGGCCUACCAAGGCGACAAUCUUUAGCUGGUCUGAGAGGAUGAUCAGCCACACUGGGACUGAGACACGGCCCAGACUCCUACGGGAGGCAGCAGUGGGGAAUAUUGGACAAUGGGCGAAAGCCUGAUCCAGCAAUGCCGCGUGAGUGAUGAAGGCCUUAGGGUUGUAAAGCUCUUUUACCCGAGAUGAUAAUGACAGUAUCGGGAGAAUAAGCUCCGGCUAACUCCGUG